CGCACCUUGCACCUUUUGGCAUUCCGAAAGGUACAUCUGUUUGAGUGUCAUGAAUACCUCAACCUCUACAUUUUCUUGUAAAGUGUAGCAGCGUUGGAUGAUGAGCGCUGCUGUCGCCUUCUGCACAGCUCGCUUCAAAUGUAUAAGCAAUCUUUGUACUGCUCGGAUUGACUUGACGUGAUAAGAUCUCCGUCGAGGAUGCUUUCAAUAGCAGCCGGAUUGUACACUAGUCGCUUCUAAACCGAGUCGCCUUGCGCGAUGCUCCUAUAAUUUAGACCUCAAAUCAGAUGGGACUACCCGCUGAACUUAA
RNAcentral lists this unclassified non-coding RNA (310 nucleotides) under Septobasidiaceae sp. RNAcentral describes it as "partial contains 5.8S ribosomal RNA, internal transcribed spacer 2, and large subunit ribosomal RNA". Lineage: Eukaryota; Fungi; Basidiomycota; Pucciniomycetes; Septobasidiales; Septobasidiaceae. The record is from RNAcentral.